RNAcentral lists this ribosomal RNA (624 nucleotides) under Cirrophthirius testudinarius. Its description in RNAcentral is "bacterial SSU rRNA". It matches the Rfam family "Eukaryotic small subunit ribosomal RNA", at positions 32 to 580 of the family's 1831-position model. The record is from RNAcentral. Lineage: Eukaryota; Metazoa; Arthropoda; Insecta; Psocodea; Philopteridae.
UUGUCUCAAAGAUUAAGCCAUGCAUGUCUCAGUGCAAGCCGUAAAUAAGGUGAAACCGCGAAAGGCUCAUUAAAUCAGCUAUGGUUCCUUAGAUGGUACGUACGGUUACUUGGAUAACUGUGGCAAUUCUAGAGCUAAUACAUGCAAACCGAGUUCCGACCGCUUCACAGGCGGAAGGAAUGCUUUUAUUAGAUCAAAACCAACGGGGGACUUCGAUCCUCUCGUCUCCCCGACUCGUUCAGCGAAAGGGGAGAAAGAGGACGGAGUCCGCGAAAACGAAGUCUGGCGAUUCUGAAUAACUUUGAGCUGAUCGCACGGUCCCGCACCGGCGACGCAUCUUUCAAAUGUCUGACUUAUCAACUUUCGAUGGUAGGCUCUGCGCCUACCAUGGUCGUAACGGGUAACGGGGAAUCAGGGUUCGAUUCCGGAGAGGGAGCCUGAGAAACGGCUACCACAUCCAAGGAAGGCAGCAGGCGCGCAAAUUACCCACUCCCGGCACGGGGAGGUAGUGACGAAAAAUAACGAUGCAGAACUCUUUCCGAGGCUCUGCAAUCGGAAUGAGUACACUCUAAAUCAUUUAACGAGUAUCCAUUGGAGGGCAAGUCUGGUGCCAGCAGCCGCGGU